CUCACCACACGGACUGAGACUGAUUUGAUUAAAGCACCAGAGUGCAAUGGCCCUCAGAGCAGGGCUGGUCCUGGGGUUCCACACCCUGAUGACCCUCCUGAGCCCGCAGGAGGCAGGGGCCACCAAGGGGCCAGCCCAGUGUCAGAACAGGACUCUGUCCCCACACAGAACCCAGGACGGGGCCCAGGCUCAGGGACUCAACAAUCACAUAUUGUGGAUGAGACAGACACAUUUUUUUCUCUCUCCUUGACCCUGAACUCGCCAAACACAGCUGACCACAUGGGCUCCUACGGACCCGCCUUCUACCAGUCUUACGGCGCCUCGGGCCAGUUCACCCAUGAAUUUGAUGAGGAACAGCUGUUCUCUGUGGACCUGAAGAAAAGCGAGGCCGUGUGGCGUCUGCCUGAGUUUGGCGACUUUGCCCGCUUUGACCCGCAGGGCGGGCUGGCCGGCAUCGCCGCAAUCAAAGCCC
This 472-nucleotide unclassified non-coding RNA is filed under the name Homo sapiens (human). RNAcentral's name for it is "major histocompatibility complex, class II, DO alpha (ENSG00000232962.11)". The record is from RNAcentral. Lineage: Eukaryota; Metazoa; Chordata; Mammalia; Primates; Hominidae.